Molecule: ribosomal RNA, 253 nt
Filed under: uncultured bacterium
Lineage: Bacteria
Description: partial 16S ribosomal RNA
Rfam family: Bacterial small subunit ribosomal RNA
Source: RNAcentral
UACGUAGGGUGCGAGCGUUAAUCGGAAUUACUGGGCGUAAAGCGUGCGCAGGCGGUUCGUCAAGUCUGAUGUGAAAUCCCCGGGCUCAACCUGGGAAUGGCCUUGGAAACUAGCGAGCUUGAGUGUGGCAGAGGGGGGUGGAAUUCCACGUGUAGCAGUGAAAUGCGUAGAGGUGUGGAGGAACACCGAUGGCGAAGGCAGCCCCCUGGGCGAACACUGACGCUCAUGCACGAAAGCGUGGGGAGCAAACAGG